Long non-coding RNA from Rattus norvegicus (Norway rat), 1627 nucleotides. RefSeq lists it as uncharacterized. The record is from RefSeq and is a predicted model, not a curated record. NCBI's taxonomy places the organism in Eukaryota, Metazoa, Chordata, Mammalia, Rodentia, Muridae.
UGCCACACAGGAAGUGAUGGGCUCUGAAUACAAUAAAAGCACCAGAAGUAAGCAGAAGACUCACUCACCCCAGACAGAGCCCCAGGGCAUGGUCUUUGACACCACAGAACAAUCCCAGAAAGAACUGGACUUGAUAGAGAAUGGGGAACAGAAAUCUGAGCAAAGGGCUUGUCUGUGACACAAUGAGGGUCACUGGAGAGAAUAAAUAACAAGCCUCCGUUGAACUCAUGUCUUUACUGGUGAGGACUGUUGGAGUGUGGCACCAUUCUCCGCCUCUGGGCCCCUCUCUUCUGUACGCCUCAUUCAUUCUAUCUGUGAAACUUCUAUUUUGUAAUACUCCAGUUCUGAAAGCCCUCCUGGUACCAGAACCUGUGUGUCUCCUGGAGAUGGGGCCUCAAGCAACUCUACUCUGUAUGAUAUGAGACGAAGUCCUGGGAGAGACAUCUCAACAGUGUAAGAAGCAGACAAAAUUUGCCUGAAUUGGGACAACCACCCUGGCAGCUCUGCAGAGCUGUUGAUGUUGUGUCUGGAUGGCAGGCAUUGUGGGACAGUAGAACACGCCAUGACAAAAAGGUGAGCUUCCCUUACCAAGGGAGAGAGCUAUCAUUCACUGUGAAGGAAAUUGCUAUUGUUUGCUUUCAGUGUGGCCAGCAAGCCUUUGUUGUACUUAGAUCUUUACAGGUGAGGACUGUUUGAAGCGAUGCUGAGCUUAGCACAGUCUUCUGUAAAGGCGGAAAAUCAUUUUGGCAGUAAAGCAGUAAGAGUGGCAGCUGUGUGCCAUAUUCCUUCAGCUGAGAGAAUGGCCUGAUUCUGUCUCAUGUGUGUCUAGAGGGUAAUAUUCUCUACCCACUCUCGUUUUCAUUGUGUUGGGACAACUGGCUUUGAUAUAACCUAUUGUAGUGGUUCUGUGUUUCCAGGGCCCUGGUCUCAAUUUUGCUCCAGACCUCUUAUAUAAUUCAGGAAGAAGGAUUGCAGAGAUGGCUCAGCAGUUGAGAGCACUGACUGCUCUUCCAGAGGUCCUGAGUUCAAUUCCCAGCAACCACAUGGUGGCUCACAACCAUCUGUAAUGGAGUCAGAUGCCCUCUUCUAGUGUGUUUAAAGAUAGUGACAGUGUACACACAUAAAAUAAAUAAAAUAUAAUCCAGGAAGAACUUACUGGGUACUUGGGGCUUGUAAUAUACUGUGACAACCCCCCAGGAACAAGAGAGGGUUACAUAUGCUUUGUCCUGGAGGAGCUUAGUUCUAGAGUCAUGACUCUGACCCAUGGAGAGCUGUUACAGAAAGCUAACGAACAGCAGAAUUAGGUGGUUUUAAGGAGCUGUAGUGGUUUGCAUGUGCUUGGCCCAGGGAGUGGCACUAUUACAAGGUGUGGCCUUGUUGGAGGAAGUGUGUCACAGGGUAGGAUGUGCUUUGGGACCCUCCUCUUAGCUGCCUGGAAGACAGAUGGUCUUCUAGCAGCCUUCAGAUGAAGAUGUAGAACUCUCAGCUCCUCCUGUACCACACCUGCCUGGAUGCUGCCCUGUUCCCACCUUGAUGAUAAUGGACUGAACCCCUGAACCUGCAAGCCAGCCCCAAUUAAAUGUUUACUUUUAUAAGAGUUGCUGUGGUCAUGGUGUCUCUUCACAGC